This 1669-nucleotide long non-coding RNA is filed under the name Vigna radiata. RNAcentral's name for it is "long non-coding RNA (VRAD_LNC018316)". Lineage: Eukaryota; Viridiplantae; Streptophyta; Magnoliopsida; Fabales; Fabaceae. The record is from RNAcentral.
GUAGUAAUAAUAAUAAUUCUAUUAAUAAUAAAUUAUAAUAAUAAUAAUAGUAGUAGUAAUAAUAAUAAUAAAAAAAUAGUAAUAAUAAUAAUAUUAUUAAUAAUGCCAAAUUCAAAAAAAGAAAACAAAUGGAGAGAAAAAUCAGGGCAGUAGAAAGAGGGACAGAGGAACUAAAAGAGGGUAGUCAAGGGUGAGUAAAUGGGGAAAGGAAAGGAAGAAGGAACGAGCAAAACGAGGAAAUAGAAGGAGAAAGGGAAAUACAGAAAUUUUGGAUGAAAAGGGUAAAGUUGCCUAUUUUGAGGGGAUUGAUCGAGAGGAAUGGAUAUCAAAGAGCAAAGAAAUUUUUUGAGAUCAAAAAUGUGGUAGCAAGGGAAAAAUUAAGAUUGGCCUACAUUAGCAUAUAUAACAAAUGACGAGGCAAUAUUACAUACCCCUAAUGCUUAUUUGCGUAAGGAAGAUAAACAUAUAUAAGCUUUAAGAAGCUUGUGGAUUAUCUUAUCAAUAGGUAUCUUCACAUCAUCACAAUGACGAUAUAACAAAUGACGAGGCAAUAUUACAUACCCCUAAUGCUUAUUUGCGUAAGGAAGAUAAACAUAUAUAAGCUUUAAGAAGCUUGUGGAUCAUCUUAUCAAUAGGUAUCUUCACAUCAUCACAAUGACUCGUCAGCCAUGGAUGACCUGUGCAUAAAAUAAAGCUAUGAGCAAGAAUUCAUAGGAUUAUAAAAUGCACAAAGCUUUUAUAAUUCUUCAGAUUAUAAAAGCUAUGAAUUGCUGCUGAAACAGUAAUUACAGCUGCUGGAACGUGAUUCUUUAGCUGCUGUUAAGCCUUUCUUCUUGCUUCACUUUCAAUCCCCUAACCACUUCCUAGAAGGCUACCAUAAUAGGAGAGGUUUUCUGCUUCUGGAUGGCUCAAUUAGACUGCACACAUACUCCAAAAAUUCACCAGAAACAUCACAAACAGAUUUAAAAAUCUGCAUAAGAAUUCUGCACUCCAAGUGGCUGGAACAACAGUUUAGAGGCCAAAAAAUUGAUGAAUUCAAAUGGAACAGCAACCAAUAACAACAGGCACUCUAAAUGAACCUAAGAAUAGCACUAGAGUGGAUUAAGAAAGCAAUAAAAACGCAANCACAGUUCAGAAUUCAUGCCAAAUGCAAACUGUUUGAUAAUUUCCAAAACUGUUUGAUAAAAUGUCCCAAAGAGUUUCAGAUUUUGUGUUUUUAACUUUGGGGACUUGUAAACUGGAUUGAUUGGUUCUCUAAGCUUUUUAACACUUGAUAUUUGUUUUUUUAUUCAUUCAUUUUCAUUCUAAAUCAUAGAACCAGCUUUUUCCAAUCUAAAAAGAAAUGAAAUCUNCACAAGACUAUCAAACAGUGCUGGAAAACCGUGACUGCAUCAAGAAAUUCACAUUGAUUUUGGUGGUUUGAAUUCCAAUUUCGAAUGAAACUGUUUGGAACUCACAAUAAACAGUUCAAGCAACUUUCAAUGCUAGAACUACCUCUGCCUAAAUCUAAAGCUAAGUCUACUCUUGACAAUUCUAAUCUAAGGAAAUGAAGCUAAAAACGAGUGAAAUCAGCAAGGAAUGAGNAAAAGCAUAAAACAGAACCUAAAAGCUCCUAGAAAGACUAACCAUGAUUACCUAAGCUAUUUACAAUCUAAACAACUAAGACAAA